Plasmodium knowlesi strain H is the source of this 117-nucleotide small nucleolar RNA. The record is from RefSeq and is a predicted model, not a curated record. NCBI's taxonomy places the organism in Eukaryota, Apicomplexa, Aconoidasida, Haemosporida, Plasmodiidae.
GGAACCAUUUUCAAUAUGAUGAUAACAUAACCCAGCUCAUCCGAGAGAGAUAAAUCGUGUGGAUAAUUUUUCAUGCAUCACAAUCUGAUUGAAAUGGUUUCCAACGGGAAUGAAGGU